RNAcentral lists this transfer RNA (73 nucleotides) under Rhipicephalus microplus (southern cattle tick). RNAcentral's name for it is "tRNA-Phe". It matches the Rfam family "tRNA". Rfam says of the family: Transfer RNA (tRNA) molecules are approximately 80 nucleotides in length. Their secondary structure includes four short double-helical elements and three loops (D, anti-codon, and T loops). Lineage: Eukaryota; Metazoa; Arthropoda; Arachnida; Ixodida; Ixodidae. The record is from Rfam by way of RNAcentral.
GCCGAAAUAGCUCAAUUGGGAGAGCAUUAGACUGAAGAUCUGAAGUUCCCUGGUUCGAUCCCGGGUUUCGGCG